GUGCUCGCUUUGGCAGCACAGAUACUAAAAAGUGGAACGUGCAGAGAAGAUUAGCAUGGCACCUCACAAGGAUGACACCAAUUCGUGAAGCCGUUCCAUAAAAAA
This is a small nuclear RNA of Lynx canadensis (Canada lynx), 105 nucleotides long. The record is from Ensembl. Lineage: Eukaryota; Metazoa; Chordata; Mammalia; Carnivora; Felidae.